This 464-nucleotide ribosomal RNA is filed under the name uncultured bacterium. RNAcentral's name for it is "partial 16S ribosomal RNA". It matches the Rfam family "Bacterial small subunit ribosomal RNA", at positions 28 to 507 of the family's 1533-position model. The record is from RNAcentral.
GACGAACGCUGGCGGCGUGCCUAACACAUGCAAGUCGAACGAAUGAAGUUCCUUCGGGAAUGGAUUUAGCGGCGGACGGGUGAGUAACACGUGGGCAACCUGCCUCAUAGAGGGGAAUAGCCUCCCGAAAGGGAGAUUAAUACCGCAUAAGAUUGUAGUACCGCAUGAUACAGCAAUUAAAGGAGCAAUCCGCUAUGAGAUGGGCCCGCGGCGCAUUAGCUAGUUGGUGAGGUAAUGGCUCACCAAGGCGACGAUGCGUAGCCGACCUGAGAGGGUGAUCGGCCACAUUGGGACUGAGACACGGCCCAGACUCCUACGGGAGGCAGCAGUGGGGAAUAUUGCACAAUGGGGGAAACCCUGAUGCAGCAACGCCGCGUGAGUGAUGACGGCCUUCGGGUUGUAAAGCUCUGUCUUCAGGGACGAUAAUGACGGUACCUGAGGAGGAAGCCACGGCUAACUACGUG